UACGGAAGGUCCGGGCGUUAUCCGGAUUUAUUGGGUUUAAAGGGAGCGUAGGCCGGAUAUUAAGCGUGUUGUGAAAUGCAGGUGCUCAACGUCUGCACUGCAGCGCGAACUGGUAUCCUUGAGUGCGCUGGAAGUCGGCGGAAUUCGUCGUGUAGCGGUGAAAUGCUUAGAUAUGACGAAGAACUCCGAUUGCGAAGGCAGCUGACUGUAGCGUUACUGACGCUGAAGCUCGAAGGUGCGGGUAU
RNAcentral lists this ribosomal RNA (245 nucleotides) under uncultured Prevotella sp. RNAcentral's name for it is "partial 16S ribosomal RNA". It matches the Rfam family "Bacterial small subunit ribosomal RNA", at positions 524 to 768 of the family's 1533-position model. Lineage: Bacteria; Pseudomonadati; Bacteroidota; Bacteroidia; Bacteroidales; Prevotellaceae. The record is from RNAcentral.